AACGCUCUGGUCCUGUCAUACCUAUGGGGGACCAACCUUGUGCCUCCGGGAGAUCCACGCUCCCACCAGGAAACACGCGGGAACCCAAGCCUCCAAAAAAGCGCUGUGUCCUGGCUCCGCGGUGGGAUUAUCCUGAAGGGACUCCCAGUGGAGGUAGUACCACUCUCCCCUCGGCGCCUCCUCCGGCAUCUACUGGACUCAAGUCGCACCCUCCUCCUCCGGAGAAGUAGUGAAAUAGAUUUUUUUCCCAGACGAAAUCAGUCUGUGAGGGAUUGCAGUAUGGUUCCGUUUCCUUGGUGCGUUUGUAAAAUAGUUUACCCAUUGAAGACCAUGAAGAUUCUUUCCAAUGCUACCCUGCUUUUGCUGGUGUCCUGCACCUGGAAGUUGUGAUGCUAAAGGCUCAUCUUAUAUUUUCUACCCCAUUGACCAUUUCUCUAUUUGACUGUGCCACUGGGAGACCGUAUUUACAAACUGAGUAUUAUGAUGUAAUGACUGUGAUUUCACCUCCAGAAUUUGGAUGACUCUAGGACAUGGGCAAGAUCAGGUUGUAGACUUCUAGGACUGAAGGCCAUGGUGUGUGUGGAUCAUGGUCAACUCACCAAAGCAAGUAAUGCCCUUGAGAUGACCCUGCAGAAGCUUGUCAUUGCUCUCUUUUGUUGACACCCAGUCUUUGCUGUAUUACAUUAAAGUUGCAUAAAUCCAUUAAUGUCCAAAUAAAUCGUGUCUUAUGGCAACGUU
This 738-nucleotide long non-coding RNA is filed under the name Rattus norvegicus (Norway rat). RNAcentral describes it as "long non-coding RNA NONRATT030910". The record is from RNAcentral. Lineage: Eukaryota; Metazoa; Chordata; Mammalia; Rodentia; Muridae.